UGGAACUUGGGGAUAGUGCAUACUCAUGAAUGAUUAUUCAUAUUGCCUCACUCUGGAUCAAUAACUUUGGAUGACAUUUUGAUAUAACACCUGUUGCUCUUUCAACCAUGAAAACUUACAAUGACUACCAAUACUUGGGGAUAGUGCAUACUCAUGAAUGAUUAUUCAUAUUGCCUCACUCUGGAUCAAUAACUUUGGAUGACAUUUUGAUAUAACACCUGUUGCUCUUUCAACCAUGAAAACUUACAAUGACUACCAAGUAAGUUCAAUUCUGCUGCAAGAAACUAUAAGUAUCAAAGACUUAUAAAUGAAUAAAAAUUACAUGAAUGUAUGCUUCAUUGGAGGAAGGAAGAGGACUUUGAGAAGAUUCAGAAUUUGUAAGAUAUCUACAUGUGGGCUGCUUUUCAAAUUUCAGAAAAUUGCAUCUUCCGCUGUCUGUCCCACCCUAUUAUCCUUAUUCUUUUUCCUACCAAAAUGCCAAGAUAGCUGGAGUAGAAUUGGAGUCAGAACUCAACUUGAAAAUGCAUGAAAGUAACAUUGCACAUCAUUCCCUAUAAUAUUUUCAAUAUGGAAGGGCCAUUGAUGGAGCAUUUAAAACCAUAGAAUCCAAAGCAGCGAUGGA
RNAcentral lists this long non-coding RNA (622 nucleotides) under Lathyrus oleraceus (garden pea). RNAcentral describes it as "Pisum sativum (pea) long non-coding RNA (PSAT_LNC003478)". The record is from RNAcentral. Lineage: Eukaryota; Viridiplantae; Streptophyta; Magnoliopsida; Fabales; Fabaceae.